This 104-nucleotide non-coding RNA is filed under the name Rattus norvegicus (Norway rat). The record is from Rfam by way of RNAcentral. Lineage: Eukaryota; Metazoa; Chordata; Mammalia; Rodentia; Muridae.
UCCUGAAGAACACUCAGGGAAGACAGAAACCUUGCGUGGAGCAGAAGGGGUAAAAGCUCGCUUGAUCUUUAUUUUCAGUAUGACUACAGACUGUGAAAGAAGAG